GGGUCGGGACAGGACUAUAGGGGCGGUUCGGGUCCCGUAACGCUUGUCUGUGCCCGAAGUGUGGGGAUUACCUUGUAUUGCAGUGCUAUUGGUGUGCCGUACCCUAAUGGGGAUGUUGUGUGGUAGCGUGGGUUAACACACGUUUGAAAAGGGGUGGUGUGCUACGGGGAUAUAGCGGGACCGAACUCUUUGUGAAUCCAGAUCCGACCCGAUGGGUUGCUGCAUGAAUUGUACUGAAUAAAAUUAUCUUUGUAAUUGUAACUGUGGUCUGGUGGUGCUCUAUUCUCCGUUUACAGCCUCUUACGCUAGUUUGUGUUCGUUACAUUAUAUUAUUAAAUAAUUACUCAUCAAAUGCUUGAUUCCGAGUCGGCAAGUAGAUAAAAGUUGUCAUAGCUCAGUGUACCGCGUGUUUAUCUUAACAUGAACAAUCAAGCGUUUAUAUUGGACUUGUUGUGAUUUAUAACUUCUACGUUCACAAAAGGUCUAUACUGUGAUGGACCGGACGCUUCCGGUCGGAACUGGUUUCAAACUUGUGCGCAUACGCAGAGUGUUGCCACCAGGCGCAUUUCGCGCAUGCACAGAUUGCAAAUGAAGAGACCGUUGGAAUUCAUCGAAGUUUUAGAUUUGAAUGGAUUAGAUAAUUCGCCAAAUAAAAGCACAGCUAAACUCACAGGGCUGAUGAGGACCGGGGAAAACUGAUACUGGGAUUCCAUGAGAUACCAUAUUGACCGUCUUGUCUGAAAUCAAACAUUGGUUCAAAGUUUACAGGAUAGAACAGGUACCCAGCAGAGAGAAGUCCAUUUCUAAGGAAGUUGUCUGCGAAGGGCUGCCACCCGUAGCGGUGCCCAGGGAGCUGGGGGUUAAGGGCCUUGCUCAAGGACCCACAGGCUGAGGCUGGCCCCCAAGAUGCACUGAGGAUGCAAGCUGAUCCCUAGCAAUUCUGACUCAAGACAGUCUAAAGUUUGUCCAUGUAUCUGUUUAGAACAAUAUGAAGCCCCUGGGGUCAGAAGAAAAAUGUACAGAAUUAUAUAAAACUAAAUUGGAAAAUACAAACUUAAAAAAUGAAGAAAAUAUGUAACAGCAGGUCAACAGCCCAAUUUGGUACUUUCUCUACCCAUUUCAAAGUGACGAACCCCCCACACUGGUCACGAAGCUCAAGGACCUGGGACUGAGCUCCUCCCUUGAGUAGACUGUACAGCCACACACAGCUCCAGCAUCAUGGUGAAAUUUGCAGAUGACAUGUUUGUGGGUCUACAACAACCAAGGAAGGUCAGGCUGUUCAUAAUGGAAGCACUGGUGGAGAAAAGGGUGGUGCUGAAACUACCCCUGUACAAUGAAGCCAAUCCUGAAGAAUGAAGCAAAUCCUGAAAAAUGAAGCUCAUCCUGAAGACUGAAGUGUAUCUUGAUCAAUGAAGCUUAUUCUGAAGAGUGAAGCCAAUCCUGAACAAUGAAGCCCAUCUUGAGGAGUUACGCCUAUCCUUUGCUUUUCUCUUUUUCUAAUAAAGUACACACAUACUAUUA
Molecule: long non-coding RNA, 1521 nt
Organism: Brienomyrus brachyistius
Lineage: Eukaryota; Metazoa; Chordata; Actinopteri; Osteoglossiformes; Mormyridae
Exons: 9
Source: RefSeq, a predicted model, not a curated record